CCUUAGAGUUUGAUCCUGGCUCAGGAUGAACGCUAGCUACAGGCUUAACACAUGCAAGUCGAGGGGCAGCAUGGUCUUAGCUUGCUAAGGCCGAUGGCGACCGGCGCACGGGUGAGUAACACGUAUCCAACCUGCCGUCUACUCUUGGACAGCCUUCUGAAAGGAAGAUUAAUACAAGAUGGCAUCAUGAGUCCACAUGUUCACAUGAUUAAAGGUAUUCCGGUAGACGAUGGGGAUGCGUUCCAUUAGAUAGUAGGCGGGGUAACGGCCCACCUAGUCUUCGAUGGAUAGGGGUUCUGAGAGGAAGGUCCCCCACAUUGGAACUGAGACACGGUCCAAACUCCUACGGGAGGCAGCAGUGAGGAAUAUUGGUCAAUGGGCGAGAGCCUGAACCAGCCAAGUAGCGUGAAGGAUGACUGCCCUAUGGGUUGUAAACUUCUUUUAUAAAGGAAUAAAGUCGGGUAUGGAUACCCGUUUGCAUGUACUUUAUGAAUAAGGAUCGGCUAACUCCGUGCCAGCAGCCGCGGUAAUACGGAGGAUCCGAGCGUUAUCCGGAUUUAUUGGGUUUAAAGGGAGCGUAGAUGGAUGUUUAAGUCAGUUGUGAAAGUUUGCGGCUCAACCGUAAAAUUGCAGUUGAUACUGGAUAUCUUGAGUGCAGUUGAGGCAGGCGGAAUUCGUGGUGUAGCGGUGAAAUGCUUAGAUAUCACGAAGAACUCCGAUUGCGAAGGCAGCCUGCUAAGCUGCAACUGACAUUGAGGCUCGAAAGUGUGGGUAUCAAACAGGAUUAGAUACCCUGGUAGUCCACACGGUAAACGAUGAAUACUCGCUGUUUGCGAUAUACUGCAAGCGGCCAAGCGAAAGCGUUAAGUAUUCCACCUGGGGAGUACGCCGGCAACGGUGAAACUCAAAGGAAUUGACGGGGGCCCGCACAAGCGGAGGAACAUGUGGUUUAAUUCGAUGAUACGCGAGGAACCUUACCCGGGCUUAAAUUGCAGAUGAAUUACGGUGAAAGCCGUAAGCCGCAAGGCAUCUGUGAAGGUGCUGCAUGGUUGUCGUCAGCUCGUGCCGUGAGGUGUCGGCUUAAGUGCCAUAACGAGCGCAACCCUUGUUGUCAGUUACUAACAGGUUCCGCUGAGGACUCUGACAAGACUGCCAUCGUAAGAUGUGAGGAAGGUGGGGAUGACGUCAAAUCAGCACGGCCCUUACGUCCGGGGCUACACACGUGUUACAAUGGGGGGUACAGAGGGCCGCUACCACGCGAGUGGAUGCCAAUCCCCAAAACCUCUCUCAGUUCGGACUGGAGUCUGCAACCCGACUCCACGAAGCUGGAUUCGCUAGUAAUCGCGCAUCAGCCACGGCGCGGUGAAUACGUUCCCGGGCCUUGCACUCACCGCCCGUCAAG
This 1402-nucleotide ribosomal RNA is filed under the name uncultured bacterium. Its description in RNAcentral is "bacterial SSU rRNA". It matches the Rfam family "Bacterial small subunit ribosomal RNA". The record is from RNAcentral.